This 250-nucleotide ribosomal RNA is filed under the name Helicobacter sp. Hhei-4. RNAcentral describes it as "partial 16S ribosomal RNA". It matches the Rfam family "Bacterial small subunit ribosomal RNA", at positions 400 to 667 of the family's 1533-position model. Lineage: Bacteria; Pseudomonadati; Campylobacterota; Epsilonproteobacteria; Campylobacterales; Helicobacteraceae. The record is from RNAcentral.
CGUGGAGGAUGAAGGUUUUAGGAUUGUAAACUCCUUUUGUCAGAGAAGAUCAUGACGGUAUCUGACGAAUAAGCACCGGCUAACUCCGUGCCAGCAGCCGCGGUAAUACGGAGGGUGCAAGCGUUACUCGGAAUCACUGGGCGUAAAGAGUGCGUAGGCGGAGUGGCAAGUCAGAUGUGAAAUCCUAUGGCUUAACCAUAGAACUGCAUUUGAAACUGCCACCCUAGAGUGUGGGAGAGGUAGGUGGAAU